UUUUUCACUGGUUUUAUUCAUGUGGUUCUUCCUUUGGGCUUCCGUGGUGGGCAGCACCAGACGUGUCCCCCUGCACAGCAAUGGGGGGCAGCCGAGGGGCUCCUCUCUGCUGGCCUCUCCUCUUCCAGCCACACCGCACGCACAGGCACAGGCAGCGAUGGGACCGAAGCGGGGCACGCUCCUGGCCUCUCCCCCUCGGCGGGGAGCUAUCCGAGCCCUGCAGGGCAGGCAGCACAGCCCCAGCCGCACCCCAGCACGCUCCCACAGCCUGCUGGCACGGCCCCGCAGCCCUGCCCAAACCCCAGGGCACCUUGUCCAGCGCCCGGCCCGGGCCUGGGCUCCGCAUCAGCUGCUGCCCCCCACCCCCCCGCAGUGCUGCCCUGCCCGUGGCUCAGCAGGCAGGGGGUGCCCCAUGUCACAAAGGGGCAGGGACGGCCUUGGCCCCGGAACGCUGGCCCCAGCGGCACUUGGGCGCUUGGGCAGCCCUGCCAUGGCUGCCCGUGCUGACGGGGAGGCUGCUCGGCUGCCUGCUCCUCUGCUGCGGCUCCAGCCUCCGCUCUGGACACAAAGGCAACCAGAGGAACUCAGCUCCUCUCUCCUCCCUCCUCAGGCCCUCGCCUCCAACGGGAACUGAACCACCGCACGCUCCUGGCCGCUCCUUCCCAGCACGGGGCCGGACAGUUGUCCACGCUCUCCAGGACAGGUAACAUCACCCCGACCCACACCCUCCCACGCUCCCAUAGCAGGCAGCCAGCUGACAGGAUCAGGCCAGGAUGGCAGGGACAGCUCCAUCAGGACGACGGGACACGGACAGCCUCGGUGAGACUCUAGAGACCCUCAGGCAGAGAGGCAGGGGCUGCCCGUGCUCACAGGGGGAUGCUGCUGUGUUUGCUGCUUCUUCUCUUUCAGCCAGAAACACACAGCGAUGGCACCAGACCACAACACUCUCCUCCCUUACUGGCCACGACCACUCAGCUGGAAGGAAGAGCUGCCAACGCUCUCCAGGACAGGUAUGAUUGCCCCAACCCACACCCCAGCAUGAUCUCACAGCAAGCAGAAGACAGACAUGCUCAGGACAGGAAGGCAGUGAUGCUCCAUCAGGAUGACUGGAGAUGGACGGACGUGGUGAGAUGCUGGAGACCCUCGGGCAGAGAGGGGGCAGCAGCCCGUGGUCACAGGGGGAUGCUGCUCUGUUUGGUGCUUCUUCUCUUUCAGCCACAAUCACACAGCGAUGGGACCAGACCAUAGCACACUACCCCCUCACGGCCCUUGACCACUCAGCUGGAAGGAAGAGCUGCCAACGCUCUCCAGGACAGGUAAGAUUGCCCCAAGCCACCCCCACCAUGGUCCGCAGCAAGCAGGAAGGUGACAUGAUCGGGCCAGGAAGGCAGGAGCGCUCCAUCACGAUGACGAGAGAUGGACGGACGUGGUGAGUUGCUGGAGUCCCUCAGUCAGAGAGGCUGGGGCAGCUCGUGGGCACAGGGAGGUGCUGUUCAGUUUGUUCCUUCUCUUAUUGAAGGGCGGCAGAGACAGGAAUGAGAGUAGAGCCCUGCAUACUCCUGGCCUCUCUGCGCUGGAGAAGUCAGCUGCAAAAGCAGUCAGCGCUCUUCAGGACAGAUAAGAUCACCCCAAUCUAUUGCAAACCACGGUCUAAAUGCCCGGAAAGUGGGCGCAACGUGGCUGACCCGGGAAGGACGGCCUUGGAGUGAGGCUGGGAGAGCCUCAGGCUGGGAGGCAGGGGCUGCUCCUGGCCACAGGGGAAGGCUGCUCUCUCUUGGCUUCCUCUCUUAUAGCUGGAAAGACACCCAGCGAUGGGACCAGACCAUGGCACACUCCUGGUCUCGCUGCCCUUGAGAGAGAACUCAGCUGGGAGGAAGAGCUGCCAACGCUCUCCAGGACAGGUAAGAUUGCCCCAGACCAUUCCCCACUCCGGUCCACAGCAAGCAGGACAUUGACACGCUCGCACCAGGACAGCUGUGACAGCUCCAUCAGAACAAGGGGACACAGACAGCCUCGCCAGAAACACACAGGGAUGGGACCAGACCAUGGCACGAUCCUGCCCUCUCUGCCUGUGAGAACUCAGCUGGAAGGAAGAGCUGCCAACACUCUCCAGGACAGAUAAGCAAUCCCCAACCCACACCCCACCACACUCUCAUAGCUUGCCAGAGGGUGACAUGGCUGGGCUAUGAUGGGCAUCCCCUGGCCGUCAGGGAGAUGUGAGAUGGACGGCCCUGGAGUGUGGCUGGGAGAGCCUCGCACAGGGAGGAAGGGAUGGCUUGCAGUGCUGCCAGGGGGUGGCUGCUCGUUUUUUCGCCUCCUCUCUUACAGCUGGACACGCUGACAGUGAGGGAAUGACGCCACGACACAUUCCUGGCCUCUCUCUUUCAGCACUCUGGCGGAGAACUCACCACGCUCUCCAGAACAGAUAAGAUUGUCCCAGCCCAUUGCCCACCUCUAUGGUCUCACUGCCCUGGCCUAACACAGCUGACUCUUGGCUGUCAGCGAUGCACAGGAAGGAUGGCCUUGCUGUCGGGCUGGGAGUGUCUCACGCAGGGAGGCAGGGCCUGCCCCUGGCCGUGGGCUGGGGCUGCUCUUUUUGAUCAUUUUCCUUUCUCACCCCAUCACAGCGCCCCGAGGAGACCAAGGUCUGCCACUGUCCUUUCCCGCCUCUGCCCAGUUGCUCCACGGCCUGAAGGCUGCUGCAGCUUUCUACAACCACAGCCAUCGAAGGAGCAGCAAGCACACAGGGACCCCGCCUCUACCCUGACAUGGUCCUACAAGCACAACCACAGGCCCCGCAGCUAUGGACAAAGAGAGCUCGGCACGCCUCCAUGACACCGCACCCCACCCCACUGCACCCCAUGUCUCUCAAAUGUUACUCAAAUAAAGCUUCUGAUUCACAACCUCA
Molecule: non-coding RNA, 2908 nt
Organism: Anas platyrhynchos (mallard)
Lineage: Eukaryota; Metazoa; Chordata; Aves; Anseriformes; Anatidae
Source: RefSeq, a predicted model, not a curated record